RNAcentral lists this long non-coding RNA (1120 nucleotides) under Ursus maritimus (polar bear). RNAcentral's name for it is "lncRNA (ENSUMAG00000019436.1)". Lineage: Eukaryota; Metazoa; Chordata; Mammalia; Carnivora; Ursidae. The record is from RNAcentral.
GUCAAGACUGGAAGGAGAGCGCUGUCUGCUGACACUGGAGACCAUUCACAGUGGGCGCUCUGGGCUACGGCCCGCCCCAUGAAAACACUGGAACAUCUGGUUGAUGUCUGCACCUGCAGCAGGACACAAAGGGCUGAAUCAACUAACUAGACAAUAAUCCGGCACACGUGACUCUCAGGAUGGAUGUAGAUGAAGGGAGUCUAUUGUUUUUGCAGAAGGGUCCAUUCCUCGAGCAAAGUAACUUUCUGAACACCUAAGUACAAGGACAGCAUCACUCCAUAAACAACGUUCCGCAUCACCCGCUUUCUGUCCCCACGCCCUGUCCCAUCCGAAAGGCUGACGUUCCACAGAGCGAACCGAGCUUGAGUUGACCUAGUGAAGCAAGAACCACAAAUAAGUAACCUGUUACCUGGGAACAGAGCAGCAAUUCUCUCGCAAAUGAAUGUCAAUGAGGUACAUUUAUGACAGCUCCUCUUGGAGUGAAGGUGGAAUGAGGGACUGGAAGGUGAGGGUUCAUCACUCGUGUGAACCUGCAUUCGACUUUCACAUGCUACUCCUCGGCUUGUCAAUCGGGUCACAGGUGAGUCCUGUUGAAGGCAAUCCUGCAGAAAUUGGACUCCAGAGAAGGUUUGGAUUAGAACCCCAGCAUCACUACAUCAAAACUAGUGAGGACAAUACCACCGGUGGCUAACGUCAACCCAGGAGAUUGAGUUCAAUGUGCCGGUCAAUGACUGACCUCAGAAAGAGUCAAAGGCCAUGAAAUCAAUAUCUACAUAGUAACUUCAAUACAAUAUUGAGCAUUACCUUGAAUUGAGUCACGCCUUUGAGAACCCAGUUACUGAACCGAAUGCAAGAACAGAUGCCCACACCCCACACGUGCUGACAAAAGAAGAUUCCGGCCGAGGAGAUAAUCUCCAUUGAUUUAGUCAUACAAUGAAAGGUUUCACUCCUGUGCAAAAUACUUUAACAGGCAAAGGCUUUCUGCUUUGUACUCUAAAAGCUCUAACUCCAUUUCCCUAGAAAUGGCAAGCACACUAUGUCACAUUAAAUUCCCUCUCUGUCAGCUGAAUUGUCUGGCAUGGGAUUUUUGGGUUGAAUCAUUUUGUCUAAAAAGGCAAAA